AACCCAUGUGACCAUACCAAACUGUUGCCUCGGCGGGGUCACGCCCCGGCNNNNNNNNRAGCCCCGGAACCAGGCGCCCGCCGGAGGGACCAACNNNUACUCUUUUCUGUAGUCCCCUCGCGGACGUUAUUUCUUACAGCUCUGAGCAAAAAUUCAAAAUGAAUCAAAACUUUCAACAACGGAUCUCUUGGUUCUGGCAUCGAUGAAGAACGCAGCGAAAUGCGAUAAGUAAUGUGAAUUGCAGAAUUCAGUGAAUCAUCGAAUCUUUGAACGCACAUUGCGCCCGCCAGUAUUCUGGCGGGCAUGCCUGUCCGAGCGUCAUUUCAACCCUCGAACCCCUCCGGGGGGUCGGCGUUGGGGAUCGGGAACCCCUAAGACGGGAUCCCGGCCCCGAAAUACAGUGGCGGUCUCGCCGCAGCCUCUCCUGCGCAGUAGUUUGCACAACUCGCACCGGGAGCGCGGCGCGUCCACGUCCGUAAAACACCCAACUUCUGAAAUGUUGACCUCGGAUCAGGUAGGAAUACCCGCUGAACUUAAGCAUAUCAAUAA
RNAcentral lists this ribosomal RNA (549 nucleotides) under Trichoderma sp. AH-Group-11. RNAcentral's name for it is "eukaryotic LSU rRNA". The stretch from base 168 to 321 matches the Rfam family "5.8S ribosomal RNA". The record is from RNAcentral. Lineage: Eukaryota; Fungi; Ascomycota; Sordariomycetes; Hypocreales; Hypocreaceae.